UAGGGAAUCUUCCGCAAUGGACGAAAGUCUGACGGAGCAACGCCGCGUGAGUGAAGAAGGAUUUCGGUUCGUAAAACUCUGUUGUUAGGGAAGAAAAAAUGUAUAGUAACUAUAUACAAAAGAGACGGUACCUAACCAGAAAGCCACGGCUAACUACGUGCCAGCAGCCGCGGUAAUACGUAGGUGGCAAGCGUUGUCCGGAAUUAUUGGGCGUAAAGCGCGCGCAGGUGGUUUAGAAAGUCUGAUGUGAAAGCCCACGGCUCAACCGUGGAGGGUCAUUGGAAACUAAUAAACUUGAGUGCAGGAGAGAAAAGUGGAAUUCCAUGUGUAGCGGUGAAAUGCGUAGAGAUUAGGAGGAACACCGGUGGCGAAAGCGGCUUUUUGGCCUGCAACUGACACUGAGGCGCGAAAGCGUGGGGAGCAAACAGG
RNAcentral lists this ribosomal RNA (429 nucleotides) under Verrucomicrobiota bacterium. Its description in RNAcentral is "Verrucomicrobia bacterium partial 16S ribosomal RNA". It matches the Rfam family "Bacterial small subunit ribosomal RNA", at positions 355 to 776 of the family's 1533-position model. Lineage: Bacteria; Pseudomonadati; Verrucomicrobiota. The record is from RNAcentral.